GGGACACGUGAAACCCUGUGGGAAGCAGGAGGGACCACCCUCCAAGGCUAAAUACUACCUAGUGACCGAUAGCGUAUAGUACCGUGAGGGAAAGGUGAAAAGAACCCCGGGAGGGGAGUGAAAUAGAACCUGAAACCCUGCACUUACAAGCUGUGGAAGCACAUUUCUUGUGUGACCGCGUACUUUUUGUAGAACGGGCCAACGAGUUACGUUAAGUAGCAAGGUUAAGCACUUAAGGUGCGGAGCCGUAGCGAAAGCGAGUUUUAACUGAGCGUUCAGUUACUUGACGUAGACCCGAAACCGGGCGACCUACCCAUGAGCAGGAUGAAGCGAAAGUAAAAUUUCGUGGAGGUCCGAACCCACGAGCGUUGAAAAGCUCGGGGAUGACUUGUGGGUAGCGGUGAAAUUCCAAUCGAGCCCGGAGAUAGCUGGUUCUCCCCGAAAUAGCUUUAGGGCUAGCCUCAAGGUGAGAGAUACGGAGGUAGAGCACUGAAUGUCCUAGGGGGUAUUGCACCUACCGAAGACUAUCAAACUCCGAAUGCCGUCAUCUUAUACUUGGGAGUCAGACUGUGGGUGAUAAGAUUCAUAGUCGAAAGGGCAACAGCCCAGAUCGUCAGCUAAGGUCCCUAAAUGUAAGUUAAGUGGUAAAGGAUGUGGGAUUGCACAGACAACCAGGAUGUUGGCUUAGAAGCAGCCACUCAUUCAAAGAGUGCGUAAUAGCUCACUGGUCGAGUGAUCCUGCGCCGAAGAUUUCCGGGGCUAAAACUUACUACCGAAGCUACGGCAUCAGUAAUGAUGGGUAGGGGAGCUUCCCAUACGGGUUGAAGCAUGACCGUAAGGACAUGUGGACAGUAUGGGAGUGAGAAUGUUGGCAUGAGUAGCGAGAUGUGGGUGAGAAUCCCACAGGCCGUAAACCCAAGGUUUCCAGGGGAAGGUUCGUCCGCCCUGGGUUAGUCGGGACCUAAGCUGAGGCCGAAAGGCGUAGGUGAUGGACAACAGGUUGAUAUUCCUGUACUACCGAUAACCGUUUGAGAGAAGGGAUGACACAGUAGGAUAAGCUAAGCACACUGUUGGUUAUGUGUGCCCAAGCAUUGAGGCAGUCAAAGUAGGCAAAUCCGCUUUGAUAAUGCUGGGAUGUGAUGGGGAGCGAAAUUUAGUAGCGAAGUAGCUGAUUUCACACUGUCAAGAAAAGUCUCUAUCGAGGUUAAAGGUACCCGUACCGCAAACCGACACAGGUGGGUGAGGAGAGUAUCCUAAGGCCAGCGAGAGAACUGUUGUUAAGGAACUCGGCAAAAUGACCCCGUAACUUAGGGAUAAGGGGUGCCACCAUCAGGUGGCCGCAGAGAAUAGGCCCAAGCGACUGUUUACCAAAAACAUAGGUUUCUGCUAAGUCGCAAGACGAUGUAUAGGAGCUGACGCCUGCCCGGUGCUGGAAGGUUAAGGGGAUCUGUUAGAGCAAUCGAAGCAGUGAACUUAAGCCCCAGUAAACGGCGGCCGUAACUAUAACGGUCCUAAGGUAGCGAAAUUCCUUGUCGGGUAAGUUCCGACCCGCACGAAAGGCGUAACGAUUUGGGCACUGUCUCAACAACAGACUCGGUGAAAUUGUAAUUCCGGUGAAGAUGCCGGAUACCUGCGACAGGACGGAAAGACCCCAUGGAGCUUUACUGUAGCUUGACAUUGGGUCUUGGUACUACAUGUACAGGAUAGGUGGGAGGCUUUGAAACCAGGACGCCAGUUUUGGCGGAGCCAUCCUUGGGAUACCACCCUUGUAGUACUGGGACUCUAACCAUAGGCCAUGAAUCUGGUCUUGGGACACUGUCAGG
This 1823-nucleotide ribosomal RNA is filed under the name Clostridioides difficile. RNAcentral's name for it is "partial 23S ribosomal RNA". It matches the Rfam family "Bacterial large subunit ribosomal RNA", at positions 419 to 2261 of the family's 2925-position model. Lineage: Bacteria; Bacillati; Bacillota; Clostridia; Peptostreptococcales; Peptostreptococcaceae. The record is from RNAcentral.